ACAUUUCAGAAUAGUGCCUACUUCUGGGAUAAAGGUUGAGGAGAGAUUGGAAUGGGACCCUAAGCUUUCCAGGGUGCUGCUAGUGUUCUAUUUUUUAUGCUUGUUAGUGAGUAUUUGGGUGCUUUUUAAUCUUUAUAUCGUGUGUGUAUGUCUUAUACAUAUUUUUGGUUUUGUGUAUAUGAAAUAAUUCAUUAAAAAUAAAAGAAGAAAUGACAUAAAUAAAACAAUGCUAUUUAAUUUGGCCACAGAGGAGGUAGAGAUUCACCAAACCUCCCUCAAAAUAUGCGUUAAAAUCGCCUGUGUGAACUCUUAUCAUAUGUAAUAUUAUUGCACAUAUACUUUUGCUCUACUUUCUUUUUUUCCAUUAGGAGAAUAUAAAUAUUUUCCUUUUUUUAAGUGAUAUAAAUAACAUAUAACAUUAUGUUAGUUUCAGGUAUAUAAUAUAAUGAUUAGAUAUACGUAUGCACUGGGAAAUGAUUACCACAAGAAGUCUAGUUACCGUAUGUCAUGAUACAAAGUUACAACAAUUAUUUUUCUUGUGAAAAGAACUUUUAGGAUUUAUUAGCUUAGCAACUUUCGUAUAUGCAGUGUAAUGUUAUUGACUAUAGUCACCAUCCUGUACAUUACAUCCUUUUGACUUGUUUAUAACUGGAAGUCAGUACUUCUUGAUCCCCUUCACCCAUUUUACCUACCCCCAGUCUUCCUCCCAUUUGGCAAUCAUCAAUCUGUUCUCUGUUUAUUACUUUUCUUUUGUUUUUAGAUCCCACAUGUAAGUGACAUCACAUAGGAUUUGUCUUUCUCUGUUUGACUACACUUAACAUAAUAUGCUCAAAGUCUCAUCCAUGUGAUCCCAAAUGGCAAGACUUCAUUCUUUUUUAUGGCUAAAUAACAUUUCAUUGAAUAUGUAAUACAUCUUCUAUAGCUAAUCAUCCUUCCAUAGACAUAGUUUUUCCAUGUCUUGGUUAUUGUAAAUUAUGCUGCAGUGAACAUGAAGGUGUAUAUUUCUCUUCUAAUUACUGAUUUCAUUUUCUUUGGAUAAAUAUCCUGAAGUGGAAUUGCUGGGUCAUGUGGCAUUGUAUUUAAAAUUUUUCAGGAAUAUCCAUACUGUUUUCCACAGUGACUGUACCAAUUUAUCUUCCCACCAACAGUACACAAUGGUUCUAUUUUCUCCACGGCCUUGGCAACACUUGUUAUUUCUUGUCUUUUGAUAACCACCAUUCGAACAGGUGUGAGGUGGUUUUGAUUUGGAUUUCCCUUAUGAUUAGAGAUUUGGACUAUUUGAGUGUCUUCUCUGGGAAAAUGUCUGCUCAGAUCUUAUGCCCAUUUUUUUAAUCAGAUUUUUUUUGUUAUUGAGUUGUAUGUGUUCUUUCUAUAUUUGGGGUAUUAAUCCCUAUUAGAUAUAUAGUUUGCAAGUAUUUUCUGUCAUUCAAGAUCCAUUUUAAUUUUGCUUAUGGUUUCCUAUGCUCUUCGGAAGAUUCUGUUUGAUAUAGUCCCACUUGCUAAUUUUCACUUUUGUUGCCCUUGCCUUUGGAGUCAGAUACAAGAAAAAUUAUUGCCAAGAUCAAAGUCAGGGAGCUUAUUGCCUAUGUUUUCUUCUAGGAAUUGUAUGACUUCAGCUUUUACAUCAAGUGUUUAAUCCAUUUUGAGUUAAUUUUUGUGCAUGAUGUAAGAUAGUAGUCUAAUUUUCUUCUUUUUUAUGUGGCUCUUUUCCCAAGACCAUUUAGUUAUGAGAUUGUCCUUCCCUCAUUGUAUACCCUUGCCUCCUUUGCUGUAAAUUAAUUGACCAUAUAAGGGUGGGUUUAUUCCCAGGCUCUCUGUCCUGUUCCAUUGAUCUGUGUCUGUUUUUAUGCCAAUACCACAGUUUUGAUUACUGUAUCUUUGUAUUAUAGUUUUAAAUUAGGGAGCGUGAUGCCUCCAGCUUUCUCCUUUCUCAAGAUUGCUUUGAUUAUUUGGGAUCUUUUGUGAUUCCAUACAAAUUUUAGCAGUGUUCUAUUUACAUGAAAAAUGCCACUCCAAUUUUGACAGGGACCAAAUUGAAUCUGUAGAUUGUUUUUGGUAAUACAGACAUUUAAACAAUAUUAAUUCUUCCAAUUCAUGAGCAGAGAACAUUUCCAUUUAUUUGUGUAUUCUUCAAUUUAUUUAAUCAACAUCUUGUAGUUUUCAGUGUACAGGUCUUUCACCUCCUUGGUUAAAUUUACUUCAAAGUAUUGUGUUCUUUUUGCAAUUGUAAAUGGGAUUGUUUUCUUACAUCUCUUUAGUAUUUUCUUAUAUGUGUCUGAUAUACUAACAAAAUAUAAGAAAUAAUUUUUUCCAGCACAUUCCUUGAAAUGUCCCCAGAUCCUUUUGUUGAUGAUAAAUGCUUUCUACAUUAUAUGUCAAAUUCUUAUCUUUUGCAGUACUCAAAAGUAAAAGCCAAAGUCUAGUCAGUGUUACCAAAAUACUUAAUGUAUAUGGUAUUUAUACUCUUUUAGACAUAUCCCUGUUAUUUAUGUAAUUAUUUAUUUAUUUAUUCAUUUUAAAUGUAUUGGGGUAUAGUUGCUUUACAAUGUCGUGUUAGUUUGUUAUAUAGCAAAGUGAUUCAGUUGUAUAUACCUGCAUUCAUUCUUAUUCAGAUGUUAUCUCAUAUAGGUUAUUAAAGAAUAUUGAGUAGAGUUGCCUGUAUUGUACAGUAGUUCCUUGUUUAUUAUCUAUUUUAUGUAUAAUAGUGUCUAUAUGUUAAUCCCAAACUUCCAAUUUAUCCUCUCCACACCUUCACCCUUUGUAACCAUAAAUUUGUUUUCAAAGUCUGUGAGUCUGUUUCUGUUUUGUAAAUAUGUUUAUUUGUAUCAUUUUUAAAAAUUAGAUUCCAUAAAUAAGUUUUAUCGUAUGUUUAUCUUUAUCUGAUUUACUUCACCUAGUAUGUUAAUCUCUAGAACCAUCCAUGCUGCAAAUGGCAUUAUUUCAUUCUUUUUAUGGCUGAUUAAUAUUGCAUUGUAUAUAUCCAGUCUUCAUCCAUUCCUCUGUUGAUGGGCAUUUAGGUUGCUUCCAUGUCUUGCCUAUUGUAAAUAGUGCUGCAAUUAACAUUGAGGUGCUUGUAUCUUUUCAAAGUUUGGUUUUCUCCAGUUACAAGCCCAGGUGGGAUUUCUGGGUUAUUAGGUUCUAUAUAUAGUUUUUUAAGGAACCUCCGUACUGUUCUUCGUAGUGGUUGUAGCAAUUUACAUUCCCACCAACAGUGUAGGAGAGUUCCCUUUUCUCCACACCUUCUCCAGCAUUUAUAGUUUGUAGGCUUUUUGAUGAUGUCUGUUCUAACUGGUUGAUAUCUCACUGCAGUUUUGAUUUGUAUUUCUCUAAAAAUUAGCAAUGUUGAGCAUCUUUUCAUGUGCUUUUUUGGCCAUCUGUAUACCUUCUUUGAAGAAAUGUCUAUCUAAAGAUGAAUGUCUGUGUAAAGAUCAAUGAAACUAAAAGCUGGUUCUAUGAAAGGAUCAACAACAUUGAUAAACCUUUAUCCAGACUCAUCAAGAAAAAAGGGAGAGAGCUCAGAUCAAUAAAAUGAGAAAUGAAAAAGAAGUUUCAACUGACACCACAGAAAUACAAAGGAUCAUAAGAGACUACUAUGACAACUAUAUCCCAAUAAAUGGACAACCUAGAAGAAAUGGACAAAUUCUUAGAAGGGAUAUCCUUCCAAGACUGAACCGGGAAGAAACAUAAAAUAUGAAAGAAUAAUCACAAGUACUGAAAUUGAAACCGACUAAAAACUUCCAACAGUUGGGGUUAGUAGAUGCAAACUAUUACAUUUAGAAUGGAUACGCAAUGAGGUCCUACUAUAUAGCACAGGAAACUAUAUCCAGUCUGUUGGGAUAGACCAUGAUGGAAAAUAAUGUGAGAAAGGAAAUGUGUGUAUAUAUAUGUAUAUGACUGGGUCACUUUGUUAUACAGCAGAAAUUGACACAGCACUUUAAAUCAACUAUACUUUAAUUAAAAAAACAAAAAAUGAAAACUUCCAACAAAAACAAAAGUCCAGGACCAGAUGAUCUCACAGGUGAAUUUUAUCAAACAUUUAGAGAAGAGUUAACACAUAUUCUUCUGAAAUUCUAUUAUUAAUCUUUUUUAUUUAAUUUUGUUCCUUUUGUACAUUAUGAAGAAAUAGCAAGCUUGGCUUUACUAUUCUCAAUACAUGGAAAGAUAUACAUGAAGAGUUUUUAUUUCUAAGCUAGAGAUUAGUGGUGAUACAGUAGCAAAAAUGUUCCUUAGUGUUCAUAUGCUUGAUUAGACUAAUAGUAUGCUGUUGGAGGAGAAGGGCUAUAUCAUUUCUCUCCUCUCAUUACAUGGAAAUAAUUGCCUGGUAAUAACCUCAUCUGGGUCACUGAAUUAUAUAUUUAAAGUGUUAAAAGAUAAAAAGUAUCUAUGUAUCAUACACACACACACACACACACACACACAUACAUAUAUAUAUAUAUUUCUCACAGUUUCCAUUGUGGCUCAGCAGGUUGAGAAUUCGACAUAGUCUCUGUGAGGAUGCGGGCUCAAUCCCUGGCCUUGCUCAGGGAUUAAGGAUCCAGCACUGCUGCAAGUUGUGGAGUAGGUGUGGCUAGUUUCAGCAUUGCUGUGGCUGUGGUG
This 4596-nucleotide long non-coding RNA is filed under the name Sus scrofa (pig). RNAcentral describes it as "lncRNA (ENSSSCG00015037927.1)". Lineage: Eukaryota; Metazoa; Chordata; Mammalia; Artiodactyla; Suidae. The record is from RNAcentral.